CCUACGGGCGGCUGCAGUGGGGAAUAUUGCACAAUGGGGGAAACCCUGAUGCAGCGACGCCGCGUGAGUGAGGAAGUAUUUCGGUAUGUAAAGCUCUAUCAGCAGGGAAGAAAAUGACGGUACCUGACUAAGAAGCCCCGGCUAACUACGUGCCAGCAGCCGCGGGAAUACGUAGGGGGCAAGCGUUAUCCGGAUUUACUGGGUGUAAAGGGAGCGUAGACGGCUAGUCAAGUCAGAAGUGAAAGCACAGGGCUCAACCUUGGGACUGCUUUUGAAACUGAGUAGCUAGAGUGCAGGAGAGGUAAGCGGAAUUCCUAGUGGAGCGGUGAAAUGCGUAGAUAUUAGGAGGAACACCAGUGGCGAAGGCGGCUUACUGGACUGUAACUGACGUUGAGGCUCGAAAGCGUGGGGAGCAAACAGGAUUAGAUACCCGGGUAGUC
Molecule: ribosomal RNA, 440 nt
Filed under: uncultured bacterium
Lineage: Bacteria
Description: partial 16S ribosomal RNA
Rfam family: Bacterial small subunit ribosomal RNA
Source: RNAcentral